CUUGAAAAUAGGUGUAGUAAUGACAAA
Molecule: non-coding RNA, 27 nt
Filed under: Bombyx mori (domestic silkworm)
Lineage: Eukaryota; Metazoa; Arthropoda; Insecta; Lepidoptera; Bombycidae
Source: RNAcentral